AGAGACAAGUGAGAGAGGCUGAAGAACCGGCUGGGCAAGUGCGUCUGGCUUGUCCCCAACCACCCAGAGGAUUUUAUGAGCGAAGCAUUUCAGUGACUUUUAAGAGGGUGGCUGUGAAGAUCAGGUGCGUGAAUGCACCUAAAAGGCUUAGACAGUUCUGGCGCAUGAUAGCAAAAGCUAGAGCAGUCACUUGGAUCCAGAGAUGGCCUCCCUCUCCAUGUGGUCUUUCAUCCUCAAGGAAGAUAGUCCACGCUACUUUCCUUACAUGGUGGUUCCAAGAGAAAGCCCCAAAGCACCAGCGCUUCUAAGAUGGCUCACUUACUCUGGGGGAAGCCAGCCGCCAUGUUGUGAGGAGACCCAAGCAGCCCUUGGAGAAGCCUGCAAGGUGAGGAGCUGAGUCUGCCUGCCAACCAUCAGCACCAGCUUGCUAACUAUGUGAGUGAGCCACUGUGGGAAAGGGUCCUCCAGCCCCAAUCAAACCUUCAAGUGACUGCAGUCCCAACUGACAUCUUCCCACAACUUCAUGAGACCCUAAGUCAGAACCAGCAGCUAAGCUGCCCCUGGAUUCCUGAGCCACAGGAGCUAUGUGAGAGAAUAAGUGUUUAUGGUUUUCAGCUGCUAAGUUUAGGGGUAGUCUGUGACCUAGAAAUAGAUUAAAAAUAUAGCUGAGGAUGAGAAUGUGCUGGCAUGGAACAUCUGCAGAAAGCAUAUGACAGGAUAAGACUGUGUGGCCCAGACUUGCUUUGGUGGAACCUCAGGCACCAAAGGCCGCCGUGCAGACUCCACUGACUUAUCCCAUAUCAGAGAGAAGACGAAGGGAAGCUCCUUUGGGAACUGAGGGAAGGAGCCCAAACCAUUGGAAACAGCUGCUAAUUUCCAUGUCCUUUUAGGAUAUGUCCUGCUUCAUGAUCGUGAGAGCCAAAAUAAAUUCACAAUUCCUCUGUUAGUCACAAUACCAGGAUUUCUGAGUGCCCAUCCUAGUGACAGUGAGAGGGCAGUCUUUUCGCUUCCUAAGAGUCCAAAAUUGAUCUCGGAACACAGAAUAGGUGCUCAAUAAACAUUUGUGAACGAACUAAUACAUCAGCGAAUGAAUAUAAGACUUUUUAAAAGCCAAAAACAUCCGUGUCCUCAAGACGCUGACAGCCUAAUGAGGAAGGCAGACUGUAAAAGCUAGACAUGGAUCCUGCCCACCCCCCCACACCCCCCCUUCCCUCAGUGCUUUGCCAGAGGGAGGCAUGGGAGCUUCAGGAGCCCAGAGAGGUGCCCAACCUGGCCCAGGGCCUCAGGGCAGGCUUCCUGGGGAAGGACAACACGCCUCGAGACCUAUAAAGGAAGGAAGGGGAAAGGUGCUCCACAUAGAGGUCACGGCUUCAGCAAGCGCCUGGCGAGGGGAACCUGCAUGGUGCGCACUGCGAAUUCUAAGCCUCGAGGAGGGACCUAGAGGGAGGAAGAGAGGUCUGCAGGGAAUUCAAAUUGACCCUAAGCUAACAUCUGUGCCAGUCUUCCUCUACUUUGUAUAUGGGACGCUGCCACAGCAUGGCUUGAUGAGUAGUGCGAAGGUCCGAGCCAGGGAUUGGAAUCUGUGAACCCCGGACCGCCAAAGCAGAAAGCGUGAACUUAACCACUACGCCAUGGAGGGACCGCCGUGCCCAGUUGGUUUAAAUCAGCGCCUCUGAGAUGGCAGCACCAGGAGACCCCUUGGGCUCCAAGCAUCCAACCCCCAUGAGACAGCAGAGCUUCAUCCUGCAAGGCACGGCACCAAGUCAAAGAACUGGGUGAGCCCCCUCACACGGAGGGCGCUGGAUAGAGACGUUUAGUGUAACCAGAAAUUCAUUCUUCCCUCCAGCAAAUGUUUAUUAAGCAUCCACUAUGUUCCAGCUGUUAGAAGCCGUGGGGUUGCAACAGACAAUAAACCAAUAUAGUCUGUGUGAGUGUGUGUGUGUAUGUGUGUGAGAUGUUGAAAAGUUCUCCUAGGGAGAAAAAUUAAGACGGGAAGGGGAACAAGGAAUGUGGAAAUGGUUUGCAAUUUGAAAUAGGAUGGUGCAGGAAGGCCUUCUGGGAAGGGACCUUUGAAUAGAGAUCAGAAGAUAUGGUGGGAAUAAGCCAUGAAGACAUCUGAGGGAAGAGGGUCCCAGGCAGAGGGGACAGCAAGUGCAAAUGCCCUGGGGCAAGAUUGUGCUUGUCAUGGUUCAAAGAGCAGUGAAGAAGCCAGAGAGGGGGCUGAGGCAGGGGGCCAGAUGGAGUAAGGCCUUCCAGGUCACCAGGAUGCCCCAAAGUGGAUGUAAUACAUAGUGACAAAGGUACACAAUAGGAGUGAGGCCCAGAGCCGCUCAUUAGGCAACUCUAAACUUGUGUCUCAUUACCCAACCACACCUCCUGCAGUGCACUAUGAAUUAAUAUUUUCUAUAAAUCCUGUAAUUAUCUUGUGAAUAGCACAAUUAUAUUGCAUUGUAUUUGUAUGUGUUAAAAGCGCUCAUUUGUUAAAUGUAAACAUUUGAAAUAUACCAUGUAUUAUGCAGCCCUUUUCACACUUUUAUUUAAUAAACUGGAAGCCUUAAAAUUGGAAGCAGAAGGGCCUUUUCUUCCAAGAGUUCCCUGGAGGCAGGUCUACACUCACACUCAUCCACACCCUCACAUACACCACACUGACUCACCCACUCACCCACAGUGCCCAGCCAGAAGCCCGGGCUGGGAGGCAGAGACCUGUUCACCUGCCACUCGGGGUGGCCUCGGGCAGAUCCCUGCAGUGUCUUCCACUCCCUCCACCUCACCUUGCCCAGCCCUUAACAGUUUAUAGACAGCGUCCUUGUCCUCAUGGACCUUCACUACAAAAUGGGCAGGGGUUAAUGUGUCCAUUUUACAGACAGGUAAACUGAGGCUCUGAGUGGUGCCUGCUCAAAGCGG
Molecule: long non-coding RNA, 2904 nt
Organism: Equus caballus (horse)
Lineage: Eukaryota; Metazoa; Chordata; Mammalia; Perissodactyla; Equidae
Source: Ensembl